AGUCAUACAAGUACAGAGGAAGUCAUACAGGUACAGAGGAAGUCAUACAGGUACAUAGGAAGGCAUACAGGUACAUGGGAAGGCAUACAGGUACAUAGGAAGGCAUACAGGUAGAUAGGAAGGCAUACAGGUACAGAGGAAGGCAUUAAGAUACUGUACAUAGGAAGGCAUACAGGUACAUAGGAAGGCACACAGGUACAGAGGAAGUCAUACAGGUAGAGAGGAAGGCAUACAGGUACAGAGGAAGUCAUAUAGGUACAAAGGGAGUCAUACAGGUACAGAGGAAGGCAUACAGGUCCAGAGGAAGUCAUACAGGUACAGAGGGAGUCAUACAGGUACAGAG
Long non-coding RNA from Mizuhopecten yessoensis (Yesso scallop), 343 nucleotides. RefSeq lists it as uncharacterized. The record is from RefSeq and is a predicted model, not a curated record. The transcript is spliced from 3 exons. NCBI's taxonomy places the organism in Eukaryota, Metazoa, Mollusca, Bivalvia, Pectinida, Pectinidae.